Molecule: long non-coding RNA, 319 nt
Organism: Acanthopagrus latus (yellowfin seabream)
Lineage: Eukaryota; Metazoa; Chordata; Actinopteri; Spariformes; Sparidae
Exons: 3
Source: RefSeq, a predicted model, not a curated record
CGCCGCACUCGAAGAAAACCGGGUGCUGGUGACUGUCAGCCAUGUUCGGGCUGUUCAGGCGAGACGAGGUUGUCCGCCGUGUUCGGUUCGAAGAGCGGAGUGUGUUGACUGCCCGGUUCCUUCAACCAGCGCUCCGCCCAGAUGUACUUCGAGACAAAUGACGAUCAGAAAAAAUGGGCUGUGGCAUCACAACAUCUACAGCAGACGCUAACAGAAAAUACAAACAAACCCUAAAUACAACUGGAUUUGAACGAAACCACCGUGUGACUGUAGAUUCUGAGCGACCCAGACGUACCUGUGACAGAGAUCCUGGGCCACG